This 334-nucleotide unclassified non-coding RNA is filed under the name soil metagenome. Its description in RNAcentral is "partial contains 5.8S ribosomal RNA, internal transcribed spacer 2, and large subunit ribosomal RNA". The stretch from base 1 to 120 matches the Rfam family "5.8S ribosomal RNA", at positions 35 to 154 of the family's 154-position model. The record is from RNAcentral.
GAUGAAGAACGUAGCGAAAUGCGAUAAGUAAUGUGAAUUGCAGAAUUCCGUGAAUCAUCGAAUCUUUGAACGCACAUUGCGCCCCGUGGUAUUCCGCGGGGCAUGCCUGUUCGAGCGUCAUUACACCACUCAAGCCUCGCUUGGUAUUGGGCGACGCGGUACGCCGCGCGCCUCAAAUCUUCCGGCUGGUUCGAAUCGUCCCUCAGCGUUGUGGAAACUAUUCGCUAAAGGUGCGCGUUUCGGUCACGCCGUUAAACAAGCCAAUUUCAUUAAAGGUUGACCUCGGAUCAGGUAGGGAUACCCGCUGAACUUAAGCAUAUCAAUAAGCGGAGGA